AGGAGGCCAGCAACAUCUGCAGAACCUCAAGUUUCUCCAUUACUGCUAUAGGCAUUUUACAACCCUGCAGUGAUUCCUAGAGGUAUUAUAGGUUUGGGGUGCAAGUGAAAGCAGAGAGGCUACCAACAAUGCUGCCAUGUUAUCCAUUGCUCUCAUCUGCUACAUUUCAGGUUGGGCUAAAAGAGGACAGCUUAUAGUAGUCCUCACAAUGUAGUCAACUGUGAAUAUUUCAAACAAGAGGACUACUUAAACUUUUUUUGCAGACCUUUUCUGAGGCCCAAUCACUGAAACUAGUUCAGAUGAGUUUCACUCUUUUAAAAUGUUCAAAAAUAUUUUUGGAAGGGUGGGGUAUAAAUUUGAUUGAUUAAUUAAUUGAAUAAACUUUUUUAAAAAAAUUUUUUUGCAAGACUCAAGUUGGAGCAGGGAAUCCAGUGUCCCUCUCUCUUCCCAACUGCCCUUGCUGUCAGCUACAGGCCCAAAUAAUGUGCACACACACCAGGGAUAUAGUGCAGUGUCUUGUUGCAAUGCCCCAACUGUACAUUGUGUAUUGCUAAAAUGCAAUUUUCCACUUGUAAAAAACCCAAUAAAUUUUCUUUUUGGCAGGGUUGCUCAGCCUCCCCCUUAAUGGUUUCAAUUCAGUGUUGGUACUGAAUGACAUAUCAAAUUUAAUAUUUUACUCCCAAGUGCUUUACACUAAAUCCUCUGUGUUAUUUCACACACAAGCACACAAGCUAGUGAUAUAUUUUUCUGAUUUUUUAAAAAAGCAGCCUCUUGUUCCUAUGUAUGCAUUUGUCAUUAACAUUCUGUCCUUUUGCAUGAAGUCUGUAAAAGAAGUGUGUAUAGGAUUUCAACCUUUGGGUGGUUUUCAACUAAGUACUCCCAUUGAAAUGAAUGAACAUGAUGCACUGGCCUCAAUCCUAUGCUCGCUUAGCUGGGAAAAAACCCUAUUGAACUCACUGGGACUUCCUUCUGAGUAGAUAUAAUUAGGCUUGUGUUUUUGGUCACUUGAGCCACAUGGAAAUGAAGACCUUCCUCUUUAAAGUUUCUGGAGACCUUUCAAAGUCUCCUGGAGGAGGAUGUUAGCAAAACAGCUUUGGGGAAUGUAUCACUGGUGGGCUCAACACAUGCUAUCUGAUAUAUUAAUUCUCCAAGUACAACAGAGGCCUCCCUCUGAGUGUCUCUGCCUUAUAGAGUAGCUAUAGAUGCAUCAGCAGAAAGAGAAGAAAUGUAUCUCCACAAAAGUGGAUGAAAAAAGACAGAAUUGCAUAAAAUGUGCAUACGCUAAAAUAAUAAUAUACAUCGGAAUGCAAUAAAUUUCACAAUCAUGGGCUGCAACCGUAUAACCUAUGUGCUUGCUGCUCAGAGGACUGAUGGUCAGUUUCAAGGUUAUUCAUCUUUAAACUAGACAGUAGAGGACUCUCUGAAGGCAGUAAAGUGUCCUUAUGUCCCAAAUAGAGAACAGUUCUAUAUUUGAAGAGCCAGUAGAAGAUGGUCCUUUAUUUGAAGAGCUAUCAAAGGACUGUUGUCUGUAAAGUAGGACACAUGACCACCCUAACCACCUUCAGGGUGGCUUCCAGAGACAGGGUCUUUUUCCUGGUGGCACCAGCUAUAGAGCUUCCUCCCUGGGCAGUUGUUUCCUUUGGUGCUGUCUUUGAGGCCCCAGACAAAAUCAGUCCUGUUACAUUCUAUCUUUGUAAAUACAUUUAAACAGUAUGGGGUGCCCUUUUCAUGAGCUUUCUGCUGUUCAACUGUCAUUUAAUUGGGAUCUAUAUGUGCUGAUUCCAUCAUUUUUAUUAGAUGCCUUCUAUCCUAUGGUUUUUAUCUUUGUAUUUUUGUUAGGGUUUGUUUAAGCUUCAUUGUAAGUCACAUCGAGGCCAUUUGGCAAUAAAGUGAGACAUGCAUUUGGAUUUGUGGAGGGACAUUUUAAUGCCUACUUUGUGAUGCUUCCCUCUAUGAAUGUAAACAUUUGUAAACAUGUUUAUUUUUUAAUGUUAACAUGUUAACCUUUUAAAAAAACUUUUGAGAGUUACACUUUGCACAAGUGAGUACAAUCAACAAAGUCUAGUUGUCAUUUGAGUCUGUUGCAAUCAAUAGCCCUUAGUAGGAAUGAUGUUUCACUCCCUUGCUUUCAAUAGCAGUUAGUCACAAUUAGCCUGAAGUGAAUCAUGCCCUUGAUCUCUUUCCUACUUUUUAUCCGGAUUUAUGUUACCCUUUCUGCUUUUCUUUUCCAUGUUUUGUUGUUUAGGGAAGUUUUUAAUGUUUGAUGUUUUCACGUGUUUUUAAUAUUCUGUUGGAAGCCGUCCAGAGUGGCUGGGGAGACCCAGCCAGAUGGGCAGGGUAUAAGUAAUAAAUUAUUUCAUUCAUUCAUUCAUUCAUUCAUUCAUUCAUUCAUUCAUUUUAUCAGUCCCAGUUUUUGUAGCCCCACUAUGCCAUAUGCUAGUAAGUGGUCUUUAAGCCUUGUAGAAGAACAGCAAUCUCUUUGUUUACUAUUUCCUAACCUACUAAAUGACUCAGGGGGCAAGGGUGAGACACAUUUUAUUUUGUAUUUGGGUCGUGAACAGAUUCAAGGUGGGAACUUGCUCAGAGUAGCUUGUGGCUGCCUCUGUUCUGCUAGCAACAGUUCAAACAGAGUGCUCACCACCAGUGGGUGACAUGGUGGGGUGACAACACUUACCUGACCUUCUGGCAGAUGAGUGAUGGCCAUUUAUCAAGAGGGCGAUGACAAGGUGGCGGGGAGAUCAGUGCAGUGCAAUCAUAUUGGCAGGAGUGCCAGCUUGACUCCACCACUGUGUUUGCACCAUACCAGCCCGCUUGCUGCCUCUCCCCUCGCACUAUGUAGCAGUGAUUCAGCUGUCGGGAGGUCAGGUAAGCCCUGCCACCCUAUCCUACCAUCUGGUACUGGUGCCCACCUAGUUGAGUAACACACUUUUUGAAUUCUUCACCAUUCAGUUCAAAAUAUUUGUAUCCCUCACACCAUUGUAAACUUUUAUUUUUUAAAAAUGUUGCAGUUCAUACGACCUUCUCAUUAAAGAAAUGUUGUGUAUAUUUCCAGGCCCUGAAUGACAUUAGAAUCAAUAAGGGGUUUCAAAAUUUGAUUAGCAUAGUAAAGUUCCUUUAACUCUCUUAUCUCUCAGUUGGUGGCGGUGGUUUUUCCCAUUCCAAACACUUAACUUGUUUUCAAAUGCUUAAAAUCAUUUUUAACAACUCAGAGUCCAAAAGUUUAUCAUGGGCAUAAAAUUUUGUUUGAAGCGCUUCUGUAUAUGUAUGAAAUGUAUUACAGAUGCAACUGAUGCAACAUCAGACAUUAAAGACAAUCUUUUCAAAGGUAGAAAUCAUUGUGACAUGACUCUUUCUCUUUGACCCGUCCUCGUUUAACUAGAAGCAAAGUUACUUGGAAAUGGAUUUUCCCAUUCUAGCUGUGCUCAUAGUGUCUUGAAUUGUGUGUCUCUCAUGAGGUAAUUGCUCUGCAUGUGCAGUUUGUUAUGAUAAAUCUCUAAGUCAAGAAGACACUUAAUGAUGAGCUCAUAAACAUUGGCCAAAGGGCCUGUGAUGAGCCCAGCUUGGGGCAGCUUGUUCUUUUGUAGUCUUCUGUCAAGGGACAAGGGGAUUUUACCACACAUCAGGUGCAGCUAUGUGCUAAAAUGUACAUCUGUAUCCGUCUCCUGUCUCCACAGUCACUGCGGCCCAUUUUACAUAAUGUAUUUGUGGUGUAGGUAUUUUACCUUGGUAAACAGAUUGUGUGAGAACUUUCCAUGUUGCUAUCAGUGGUCCUGAUGGGAUCGGCACGAGAGUGCGUAUGUGAUGAAGGAAAUCCAUGGAUAUAGUUCCACAUUAUGGAAAAGAUAUGUGUAGAUGUAGUUUAUUAAUGCUUGGGCCAUCGGCUAUUCACAUAUAAGACAAAUAAGUAAAGUACAAAACCCAACAGGAUAAAAUACUGCAAAAAAAUCAAAUUGCUAGGAGUGGCCACAGUUGUUUUUUGUGGCAACGAAGGAUACGUAAACUUUCAUCCCAAGACCAUGCUCGGUCCUGUCAAAAGUUGAAGAUAACGGAAUAAAGAAGGGCAAUCUAAGUUUACCACAUUCUUUAAGGCUUGGAGAUUGCAAAAGUUUAUGAAGGACAGUUGUGGUCCGCAUUGUUCAACAUGGCAGCCAAACCAACCAACUCAAAAGAUCAUGCCGGUGACACAGGUGCUCAGUCAUAUUGCAAUGACUGGAAAAGGAAGCAGCGUGGGAAUGUACAAUAAAGGGGAUGGGGAAUUUGAGGCAAGUGCUCCCGUCUUCCCUAUCUGCCUUUGGGGCUUGCUUGAGGUAGAUUGAUCUAUGCACUUUGAGAACUACAGUGGUACCUCGAGUUACAAACACCUCAGGUUACAAACGCUUCAGGUUACAAUCUCCACUAACCUGGAAGAGUUACCUCAAGUUGAGAACUUUGCCCCAGGAUGAGAAUGGAAAUCAUGUGCUGGCGGCGCAGCAGCAGCAAGAGGCCCCAUUAGCAAAAGCACGUCUCUAGUUAAGAACAGUUUCAGGUUAAGAAUGGACCUCCGGAAUGAAUUAAGUUCGUUACUAGAGGUACCAUUGUAUUCUGUCUGGAGUACAUGGUUAUAUGGUAAGCCAUGCUUUAAUUCUGAUUUUUUUGGGUACAGUAUUAUAGUUAAUUUAUUCAUACACUCUUAGAAUGAGGAGAUGCAUUUAAUACGUUAAUGAGCUGUUAGAAACUUUUGGAUAAAUCCUAUUGCUCCUAUGCUGUAUGAAAAAUGAAGGGUGUGAUUGAAGCUUCAGAGUUUAUCAUUAUCACUGCACAAUGGAAUUUGGGAACACAAAAUUCAUCUAAUUCUUACAAAUGGCAAAUCAUUGUCUGUAUGUCUUCUCUGCUGUUGCUGUUGCUGCUGCUACUAAAUAAUAGUAGUAGUAGUAGUAGUAAUAAUAAUAAUAAUAAUAAUAAUAAUAAUAAUAAUAAGCCUGUACUAUGUGCUUUAGUAUGUGAAGCAUGCUGAACAUUCGUUAGAUUGGCAUAAUCCUUACAGCAGCCCAAUGUGUCAGUAUAAUUUUCACUAUAUUAUAAAUGAGAAGCAGAAUAGCUUAAGGCCCCCUUGUGGGUUCACAGCAGAGUUGAAAUAUGAAUGGGGGGUUCCCCAAAUCAUAGCUGAGUCUCUUAACUAAGGAACCAUGUACCACUGAAAAAUAACAGAAAGAUUUCUAUGAAUAAGAUAAUAAAAGGGAGCCUGUGGGUUGGAUCUGAAGGUUUUCUUCCUCUAUUAGAAGAGGUUUUCUUCAAUGGAAAGAGUCUUCCAUUGAGAGAAGGAGUCAUCAUGCUAAGAGAAUGAGACCUUUUAUCAGAGGGAAGACUCCUUCCACUUGAGGAAUGGAAGGAUGUAUGCUAUGAAGAGGCGUAGGAAUGGUUGUAUGGAAUCUCCUCUGUUUCUGCAGAGUUAGUAGUUAUUUUAAUUUCAGAAUGAAUAACUGCCAAAUAAAUCAGCCAUCCUCAGGACUUGGCACAGGUUUUUUUUUCUUGCUCACUGAUGUUCAGUUUAGCUGAUCAAUACCAUCCUUUUUGUUAGCAAGACAUGUCAGCUGCAUUCGAAUGUUAGCUCUAUUAGAGUAGGUAUGGGAAUUUUUUAGGUCCCCAGAUCUUGCUGAACCAGAACUCCCAUUUUCCCUGGCCAUUGUCUGUGUUUGUGGAGGGACAAAGUUUCCUCACACCUGGGUUAGAGUGUCACGAUACGAAAUUCUGUGAAAUGAGCAGGUAUCUAUCUAUCAAUCAAUCAAUCAAUCAAUCAAUCCAUCAAUCCAAUCAAUCAAUUAAAUACCUUUAUUGGCAUCACAGUUUCAAGUAACUGGAAUAUUAAAAAGACAAGCGUGAAGCUAUCAAGGGUUAUAUGGUCACAAAUGAGCAGGUAUUUAUUUGUACAGUUUGUAUAGGAUCGCAUGCCUGGGGGUUUUCCUCAGCACUGUGUUGCUGUUUUAAUGAUGUAAUGAUGAAAUUGUCUGAUUGAAUAUUCCCAGUUCUUGAAAUCAGCUGAAGUCACUGAUUCCUCAUUAUCAUUGCCAAUGGCAAGAUUUCACUAGUUUAUUGGUCCUUUUAUUUUUAUGGGCAUUUUUGCAGGUAAAGUUGGCUGUGCCUGAUAUCAAGCAUGUAUCCAACCUGUUUCCUGACUGAAUAACCAACCAAGAGGCAUCUUGUCACAGGAGUAGCAGACACUAGGCUCAGUUAUUCGCUAGCUCUGAAUUG
RNAcentral lists this long non-coding RNA (6228 nucleotides) under Podarcis lilfordi (Lilford's wall lizard). The record is from RNAcentral. Lineage: Eukaryota; Metazoa; Chordata; Lepidosauria; Squamata; Lacertidae.